Molecule: ribosomal RNA, 1532 nt
Filed under: Betaproteobacteria bacterium
Lineage: Bacteria; Pseudomonadati; Pseudomonadota; Betaproteobacteria
Description: bacterial SSU rRNA
Rfam family: Bacterial small subunit ribosomal RNA
Source: RNAcentral
GAACUGAAGAGUUUGAUCCUGGCUCAGAUUGAACGCUGGCGGAAUGCUUUACACAUGCAAGUCGAGCGGCAGCGCGGGGCAACCUGGCGGCGAGCGGCGAACGGGUGAGUAAUGCAUCGGAACAUGUCCAUGUCGUGGGGGAUAGCCCGGCGAAAGCCGGAUUAAUACCGCAUAAGCCCGAGAGGGGAAAGCAGGGGACCGCAAGGCCUUGCGCGAUUGGGUUGGCCGAUGUCCGAUUAGCUUGUUGGUGAGGUAAAGGCUUACCAAGGCGAUGAUCGGUAGCUGGUCUGAGAGGAUGAUCAGCCACACUGGGACCGAGACACGGCCCAGACUCCUACGGGAGGCAGCAGUGGGGAAUUUUGGACAAUGGGGGAAACCCUGAUCCAGCCAUUCCGCGUGAGUGAAGAAGGCCUUCGGGUUGUAAAGCUCUUUUGUCCGGAACGAAACGGUCGUGGUGAAUAUCCGCGACUACUGACGGUACCGGAAGAAUAAGCACCGGCUAACUACGUGCCAGCAGCCGCGGUAAUACGUAGGGUGCAAGCGUUAAUCGGAAUUACUGGGCGUAAAGCGUGCGCAGGCGGACUUUUAAGCCAGAUGUGAAAGCCCCGGGCUUAACCUGGGAAUGGCAUUUGGGACUGCAAGGCUUGAGUAUGGCAGAGGGGGCUAGAAUUCCUGGUGUAGCAGUGAAAUGCGUAGAUAUCAGGAGGAAUACCGAUGGCGAAGGCAGGCCCCUGGGUUAAUACUGACGCUCAUGCACGAAAGCGUGGGGAGCAAACAGGAUUAGAUACCCUGGUAGUCCACGCCCUAAACGAUGUCGACUGGUUGUUGGGGGUUUGACACUCUCAGUAACGAAGCUAACGCGUGAAGUCGACCGCCUGGGGAGUACGGCCGCAAGGUUAAAACUCAAAGGAAUUGACGGGGACCCGCACAAGCGGUGGAUUAUGUGGAUUAAUUCGAUGCAACGCGAAAACCUUACCUACCCUUGACAUGUCCUGAGGCUCCAGAGAUGGGGGUGUGCCCGAAAGGGAACGGGAACACAGGUGCUGCAUGGCUGUCGUCAGCUCGUGUCGUGAGAUGUUGGGUUAAGUCCCGCAACGAGCGCAACCCUUGUCAUUAGUUGCUACAUUCAGUUGGGCACUCUAAUGAGACUGCCGGUGACAAACCGGAGGAAGGUGGGGAUGACGUCAAGUCCUCAUGGCCCUUAUGGGUAGGGCUUCACACGUAAUACAAUGGCGCAUACAGAGGGUUGCGAAACCGCGAGGUGGAGCCAAUCCCAGAAAGUGCGUCGUAGUCCGGAUCGCAGUCUGCAACUCGACUGCGUGAAGUCGGAAUCGCUAGUAAUCGCGGAUCAGCAUGUCGCGGUGAAUACGUUCCCGGGUCUUGUACACACCGCCCGUCACACCAUGGGAGUGGGUUUCACCAGAAGCCGGUAGCCUAACCGCAAGGGGGCGCCGACCACGGUGAGAUUCGUGACUGGGGUGAAGUCGUAACAAGGUAGCCGUAUCGGAAGGUGCGGCUGGAUCACCUCCUUU